RNAcentral lists this ribosomal RNA (180 nucleotides) under BTEX-degrading bacterium enrichment culture. RNAcentral's name for it is "partial 16S ribosomal RNA". It matches the Rfam family "Bacterial small subunit ribosomal RNA", at positions 347 to 519 of the family's 1533-position model. The record is from RNAcentral.
GGCAGCAGUGGGGAAUAUUGGACAAUGGGCGAAAGCCUGAUCCAGCCAUGCCGCGUGUGUGAAGAAGGUCUUCGGAUUGUAAAGCACUUUAAGUUGGGAGGAAGGGCAGUAAGUUAAUACCUUGCUGUUUUGACGUUACCGGCAGAAUAAGCACCGGCUAACUCUGUGCCAGCAGCCGCG